This 125-nucleotide transfer RNA is filed under the name Crucibulum laeve. It matches the Rfam family "tRNA". From Rfam's summary of the family: Transfer RNA (tRNA) molecules are approximately 80 nucleotides in length. Their secondary structure includes four short double-helical elements and three loops (D, anti-codon, and T loops). Lineage: Eukaryota; Fungi; Basidiomycota; Agaricomycetes; Agaricales; Nidulariaceae. The record is from Rfam by way of RNAcentral.
GGUGAGAUGGCCGAGCGGUCUAAGGCGCCAGACUAAGGAUCAGGGCAGUUUCUGUCCACUAUUCUCCUCCUUCGUGAGUGGGUAUCUGGUCCUCCGGGGCGUGGGUUCGAAUCCCACUCUCAUCA